GACGAACGCUGGCGGCGUGCCUAAUACAUGCAAGUAGAACGCACAGUUUAUACCGUAGCUUGCUACACCAUAGACUGUGAGUUGCGAACGGGUGAGUAACGCGUAGGUAACCUGCCUGGUAGCGGGGGAUAACUAUUGGAAACGAUAGCUAAUACCGCAUAAUAUUAAUUAUUGCAUGAUAAUUGAUUGAAAGAUGCAACUGCAUCACUACCAGAUGGACCUGCGUUGUAUUAGCUAGUAGGUGAGGUAACGGCUCACCUAGGCGACGAUACAUAGCCGAACUGAGAGGGGGAUCGGCCACACUGGGACUGAGACACGGCCCAGACUCCUACGGGAGGCAGCCGUAGGGAAUCUUCGGCAAUGGACGGAAGACUGACCGAGCAACGCCGCGUGAGUGAAGAAGGUUUUCGGAUCGUAAAGCUCUGUUGUAAGAGAAGAACGGGUGUGAGAGUGGAAAGUUCACACUGUGACGGUAUCUUACCAGAAAGCGACGGCUAACUACGUG
This 505-nucleotide ribosomal RNA is filed under the name uncultured bacterium. RNAcentral's name for it is "partial 16S ribosomal RNA". It matches the Rfam family "Bacterial small subunit ribosomal RNA", at positions 28 to 507 of the family's 1533-position model. The record is from RNAcentral.